Long non-coding RNA from Esox lucius (northern pike), 2208 nucleotides. The record is from Ensembl. Lineage: Eukaryota; Metazoa; Chordata; Actinopteri; Esociformes; Esocidae.
GAAGGAUAUCAGACUCGCUGGCGUUUUAUAUCCUCUACAGUAGAUGUGUGGUUUUUAAUAAAUAUCUUCACUGUACAGGCUGUAUGUGCCCACACUGUCGCAACAGGCAGACAGAGAGUGAGAGAGAGAGAGAGAAAGAGAGAGAGAUAGACAACACGGAGGGGGGGGGUGUUUUAUAUGUUGAGUCAAAUUGUCUGCAGCCCAAGUCCUGACCAAGACUUCACCCUGAGAUGAGGAGACUGGAGCCGGCUCAGGGAGAGUGAGGUCAGGAGAACAGGAGCAUACAGCCUACUGGAGGAUCAUUAAUGGAAGCCUCGCUGGACAUCUGACCUGACCCUAGUCCUACCCCUGGACCACCCCAAGCAGGUCUGUGAAGAAGGUACCUGGUAAUACCGCGACAACUAUCGCUUAGGUUCAGUCUGGCUGUGUGAGGAGGGAGGCGUUUGAACAGUCUGAGCUCCUGCCUCCUAAUGGAGGCGCGGCCAUCCUGAAAGGAAGUCUGUGUUUCUGACGACCCGGGAAUCUUAAUCCAACCCAAUAGCUUUGGAAAACCCUGGAAAUACCUGGACUUUCUAGGAGUACAUCACCAAACAUCUGAAGGUGCCCAGGCACCUGGAAAAUAUAGCUUUAGAUUGUAUGUUUAUUAUUUUAGCAUAUACCAAGAAAGAGUCCAAAGUCUGAACAGUAGCAAUAGCAUUCGGCCAUCCAUCCACCAGCACAUCACCGACAACCAACAACCUGCUGUGACAGAGAGGGGCGUGACCUUUCUGGCUGCCGGCUUCAAACGGACACUUGAAAAGCAGGGCGACUCUAACCAAGAGGCUUCCGUGCGGCGGCGACUCUAACCAAAAAAAACCAUCAGGUAAGGCUGUGAAGUUCUCCCUGCUCCCGCUGGCCUGGCCCUAAGCCCUUUAACUCCUUCGGGGCUUUGAAGCUGGCCAGCCCUGCAGCCGUGUCCCAGCACACAGCCGGCCAUCCUGGGAGGCAGCAUGCAGGAAGGGCUGCUGGUAAACGGCCUGCUUUCAUGCUCUGCUCUCCUGUUUGUUCCCUUUGGAUUAGAGGCUGUGGAUGUGUGGAGGUUGUCUGGCUGAUAGAUGCUAACCCUGGGCUCUUUACUGAUGCCCCGCAGGCCCUGGCUCUGACCACAGAGAGCACAUCUCUGCACAUGUGACGGGGAAACGUGUGGCCGCUUGGCUUGGUUGACCAGGGAAGGGUGGUGGCAGCUCAUCAUACACACACACACACAUUUAUAUAUACCUACAGACUGACAAAAGCACACAUGCUGUCCUAGCCAUCUCCUAACAUUUUUGUUAAUACAGAAUAUGUAUACUUUCUAAUUUCUAUACAGAAUAUAUAUAAACUGACACGCACAUGCAUUUUCAUUUGUGGUCACACAAAUACACACACACCUUCACGUGGUAAUGGGAGGUUUUUCCUGGUGUUUUCAGUAAAGGGACUGUUGAUAGUUCCAGGAUGAGGAUUAUACAGUUCAUUAAGGGGAGAGGACUGGGUUUCCAGCAGAUAAAAUGUCAUAUCUGGUCUUUAGCUAAGUGUGUGUAUUUUUGCGCGUGCAUGUGUGGCCGUGCGAGGGUGUGGGUGUGUGCAUACAUACGCAUGCAUUUUGGCAUCCAUGUGUGUUUGAUUUUCCAUUUGAAUAAGUGUGUCUGUCUGUACGUAGGGAAUGUGGACAUGUGUGGCUCCUGGUUCAGGGGUCAGUAUUUCCAUACAGAGUGACUCUGAGAUCUGGCCUGGGUUUCAGUGUGCCACUGGCACAGCCAGAUAUUGUAGCAGCACAGAUGAAGGCUUGGAGAUGACGCUUUACUAGGAUCUGAUACCAUGACAUCGAAUUAACGUGCUGUCGUGCAACCAUGUCUAGUUGGUUGGAAACACUAAAUCCCAUAUUUAGUUGGAUCAUGAUGCCCGAUCUAGGAAAAAUAUUAAGCAUUUUUGUGUUUGCUUUUGCAUUUGUAUUUAUUCACUGGAAUCAGAGUUACUGAGGUUUAGGUUUUAUUCUGGUAAUACUGUGGCACUUAAUGUCAUGUCCUGGCAUGGCAGACCAGUGAGAUCCACUCCCUCCCUCAUUUGGAUCAAGGACACCUGUUAGUUGUUAUUGCCUCCCCAGUGUUCCUGAUCACUGGCCCUAUUUCAGCUCCUCCUUCCCCAGUGUAUCUUGUCAGCCAUUGUUUUGGAUUUCAUUCCUUGUUUCAA